RNAcentral lists this ribosomal RNA (920 nucleotides) under Levilactobacillus brevis. Its description in RNAcentral is "bacterial SSU rRNA". It matches the Rfam family "Bacterial small subunit ribosomal RNA", at positions 379 to 1292 of the family's 1533-position model. Lineage: Bacteria; Bacillati; Bacillota; Bacilli; Lactobacillales; Lactobacillaceae. The record is from RNAcentral.
AAGUCUGAUGGAGCAUGCCGCGUGAGUGAAGAAGGGUUUCGGCUCGUAAAACUCUGUUGUUAAAGAAGAACACCUUUGAGAGUAACUGUUCAAGGGUUGACGGUAUUUAACCAGAAAGCCACGGCUAACUACGUGCCAGCAGCCGCGGUAAUACGUAGGUGGCAAGCGUUGUCCGGAUUUAUUGGGCGUAAAGCGAGCGCAGGCGGUUUUUUAAGUCUGAUGUGAAAGCCUUCGGCUUAACCGGAGAAGUGCAUCGGAAACUGGGAGACUUGAGUGCAGAAGAGGACAGUGGAACUCCAUGUGUAGCGGUGGAAUGCGUAGAUAUAUGGAAGAACACCAGUGGCGAAGGCGGCUGUCUAGUCUGUAACUGACGCUGAGGCUCGAAAGCAUGGGUAGCGAACAGGAUUAGAUACCCUGGUAGUCCAUGCCGUAAACGAUGAGUGCUAAGUGUUGGAGGGUUUCCGCCCUUCAGUGCUGCAGCUAACGCAUUAAGCACUCCGCCUGGGGAGUACGACCGCAAGGUUGAAACUCAAAGGAAUUGACGGGGGCCCGCACAAGCGGUGGAGCAUGUGGUUUAAUUCGAAGCUACGCGAAGAACCUUACCAGGUCUUGACAUCUUCUGCCAAUCUUAGAGAUAAGACGUUCCCUUCGGGGACAGAAUGACAGGUGGUGCAUGGUUGUCGUCAGCUCGUGUCGUGAGAUGUUGGGUUAAGUCCCGCAACGAGCGCAACCCUUAUUAUCAGUUGCCAGCAUUCAGUUGGGCACUCUGGUGAGACUGCCGGUGACAAACCGGAGGAAGGUGGGGAUGACGUCAAAUCAUCAUGCCCCUUAUGACCUGGGCUACACACGUGCUACAAUGGACGGUACAACGAGUUGCGAAGUCGUGAGGCUAAGCUAAUCUCUUAAAGCCGUUUCUCAGU